Molecule: ribosomal RNA, 717 nt
Filed under: Phyllactinia carpini
Lineage: Eukaryota; Fungi; Ascomycota; Leotiomycetes; Helotiales; Erysiphaceae
Description: eukaryotic LSU rRNA
Rfam family: Eukaryotic large subunit ribosomal RNA
Source: RNAcentral
UAGUAACGGCGAGUGAAGCGGUAACAGCUCAAAUUUGAAAUCUGGCUCCCUGCGGAGUCCGAGUUGUAAUUUGUAGAAGAUGCUUUGGGUGCACGACCCGGCCUAAGUGCCUUGGAACAGGACGUCRUAGAGGGUGAGAAUCCCGUAUGCGGCCGGCGUCGACGCCCRUGUAAAGCUCUUUCGACGAGUCGAGUUGUUUGGGAAUGCAGCUCAAAAUGGGUGGUAAAUUUCAUCUAAAGCUAAAUAUGGGCCAGAGACCGAUAGCGCACAAGUAGAGUGAUCGAAAGAUGAAAAGCACUUUGGAAAGAGAGUUAAACAGUACGUGAAAUUGUUGAAAGGGAAGCGCUUGCAACCAGACUUGGGCGUCGCUGAUCAUCCAAAGUUCUCUUUGGUGCACUCGACGACGCACAGGCCAGCAUCGGUUGGGGUGGUGGGAGAAAGACUGYAGGAACGUAGCUCUUUUCGGAGAGUGUUAUAGCCUGCGGUGCAAUACCGCCUACCUCGACCGAGGACCGCGCUUCGGCUAGGAUGCUGGCGUAAUGGUUGUAAGCGACCCGUCUUGAAACACGGACCAAGGAGUCUAACAUCUAUGCGAGUGUUUGGGUGCGAAACCCAUGCGCGAAAUGAAAGUGAACGUAGGUGAGAACCCUUUGAGGGGGCAUCAUCGACCGAUCCUGAUGUCUUCGGAUGGAUUUGAGUAAGAGCAUAGCUGUGGGA